Molecule: ribosomal RNA, 600 nt
Filed under: uncultured bacterium
Lineage: Bacteria
Description: bacterial SSU rRNA
Rfam family: Bacterial small subunit ribosomal RNA
Source: RNAcentral
AGCAAUAUCUGAAUGAGAGUAGCGCACGGGUGCGUAACACGUAUGCAACCUACCUAUAACUGGGGGAUAGCCUCCCGAAAGGGAGAUUAAUACCGCAUAAUAUUAUUGAGUGGCAUCACUUGAUAAUUAAACCUCAGGGGGUUAUAGAUGGGCAUGCGUCCGAUUAGCUAGUUGGUGAGGUAACGGCUCACCAAGGCUACGAUCGGUAGGGGGUCUGAGAGGAUGAUCCCCCACACUGGUACUGAGACACGGACCAGACUCCUACGGGAGGCAGCAGUAAGGAAUAUUGGACAAUGGGCGCAAGCCUGAUCCAGCCAUGCCGCGUGAAGGAUGAAGGCCCUAUGGGUCGUAAACUUCUUUUAAACGGGACGAAACCCCUCGACGUGUCGAGGGCUGACGGUACCGUAAGAAUAAGGGUCGGCUAACUUCGUGCCAGCAGCCGCGGUAAUACGAAGGACCCGAGCGUUAUCCGGAUUUAUUGGGUUUAAAGGGUGCGUAGGCGGACUUUCAAGUCAGUGGUGAAAGCCCAUCGCUCAACGAUGGAAUUGCCAUUGAUACUGUUGGUCUUGAGUACGGUUGAAGUGGGCGGAAUGUGUCAUG